GUGGAAAACUCCUGUCGAUGUGGGAGAAGGGCGUAGUGUUGCACCUCCCUUCGUUUCUGACAUAAUUGGAUCUAGAUUGGGCAUAGAAGACUUGAGUCGUAUCCAUGUCCAGUACAGGAUCCCAACCGCCUUCGAAUUAGAAUCUUUUAGGCUGAGUGGUAGAGUCAAUAGUCCACCUAGUAAGAACGAUCUAUAUGAAAAGGCUUUCAAAGUCGGACUUAGGCUUCCUAUCC
This 233-nucleotide long non-coding RNA is filed under the name Elaeis guineensis (African oil palm). Its description in RNAcentral is "long non-coding RNA (EGUI_LNC003215)". The record is from RNAcentral. Lineage: Eukaryota; Viridiplantae; Streptophyta; Magnoliopsida; Arecales; Arecaceae.